This is a long non-coding RNA of Papio anubis (olive baboon), 2836 nucleotides long. Lineage: Eukaryota; Metazoa; Chordata; Mammalia; Primates; Cercopithecidae. The record is from Ensembl.
AUGGUUUUAUCCUCCCCCUGCUGGAAGUACAAGGGGAUUUUUCUCCAAUAUUCACGGAGAAAAGGCCUACACGUUUAUUUAAAAUGUGCACAAGGCAGCCUUCAGAGUAAGGUCCAAACCCCUAAUGAGGUACAGAAGCUUAUAUACCAUCUUGAGGUUAUAGAAACUACACAGUCUUGGCUGGGCGCGGUGGCUCAAGCCUGUAAUCCCAGCACUUUGGGAGGCCGAGACGGGUGGAUCACGAGGUCAGGAGAUCGAGACCAUCCUGGCCAACACGGUGAAACCCCGUCUCUACUAAAAAAUACAAAAAACUAGCCGGGCGAGGUGGCGGGCGCCUGUAGUCCCAGCUACUCGGGAGGCUGAGGCAGGAGAAUGGUGUAAACCCAGGAGGUAGAGCUUGCAGUGAGCUGAGAUCUGGCCACUGCACCCCAGCCUGGGCGACAGAGCGAGACUCCAACUCAAAAAAAAAAAAAAAGAAACUACACAGUCUCAGAGCAUGGGCAAAAACAGAUUAUGUUGGUAAAUCUGGUUUUAUUGGCAAGACAAGUUAUAAGAGGGACAAAGGAAGAGGCUUGGCUAGCACAGGGGGUCUUGUUAUGUAGAUGAAGCCUCAGAGGCAGUAGCCCUUAGAGACAAUAGAUGGUAAAUGUUUCUUUUCAGACUUUCAAAGGUGUCAGUCUCUCCUAGAUUCAGGAAAGGCCUGGAAAGGGAAGACCUGGAUGCAUUAAUGGAGAUUCUCUACAGAUGCAAAUUUCUCCUCAAAAGUCAGCUUUGCAGGGCUAUUUCAAUCAGCUGGCCCUGUGGCAACUAUUCAAAAAUAUAUCCAAAAAAUAUUUUCAGGUAAAAUAUUUUGAUUUCCUUCAGUCCUCACUUGGAAACUUAAAAAAAAAGUUUCAUAUAUUAAAAGCCAGCUUGUUAGCUUUGGAGAGAUUUGGCUUAGAGGUUAUUAGAUAGAGACAGACAAAGAAGUGGAAAGAUAAAUUGGGACCGACAGAAAAGAACACGUUAAAAUAUAUAAUACCGUAUCUCUUUAGUCAGUCUCUUAGCCCUGAGAAGACAGCAGUUCAAUUAAACAGCUAUGUGCCUCUCCGGAAUUUAGCAUUGCUGAUGGGCUAGGACACUAUAUAUGAUGCAAGAAAACACAUCUCCUAUAGGUAUUGUCUAAUUUACCUUUUGAUUUCUUCUUUCAUUUUUAGGUCAUUUAGGAAUGUGUUUUUUAUUUUCCAUGUAUCUGGGAAUGUUCAGUUUGCCUUCUGUUAUUGAAUUCUAGUUUCAUUCCAUUGCAGUUGAAGUAGAUACUUCGUAUAUUUCAGCAUUUUUAAAUUGUUGAGACUUAUGUAAAUCAAAACUAAAAUUCUAACCCCUAUACAACUAAAUGGACCCCUCUUCUAUGGUAAGGGCAUUCCAAAGUUAACCUGAAAAACUAGUUCAGGUCAUGAUGGGAAGGAGUCAAACAUGCCUGGUUAAAUCCUCCUCCCUUUGGAAUGCAGGCACAGCUGACCAGCAUUAACAUUAAAACAGACCUUAAGACUGACAAAACAAACUCUCUGUAGCAAUAAGAUACCAGCAUGACAGAUAGCAGGCCCUAAAAGAAAUCAAAGUAUGUUACCCCAAAAUAUGUUUCUGAGACAUAUUUUGAGGUGGCCUUGCAAAGCUGUCUCUUGUGGGGAAAAUCUACAUCUACAGAGACUCUCCCUCCCUUUCCAGGUCUUUUUCCUGAUCCAAGAGAGAAUUAACUAAGAGUCCAGCAUCUUCUUAAGUCUGAUAAGAAACAUUUACAGUCUAUUCUCUCUGAAUCCUGCUUCCUGGAGACCUCAUUUGCAUAAUAAGAAUAUUGGUCUCCAUUAACCCCUUCUAUUAACCCAGACACCCCCUUCUAUUGAUUCUAGGUCUUUAGAGAAACUCUUCCAACCAAUUGCCAAUCAGAAAAUCUUUUGAAUGUACCUAUGACCUGGAAGCCUCACUUUGAGUUGUCCUGUUUUUCUGGACUGAAUCAAUGUAUAUCUUAUACAUACUGAUUGAUGCCUUAUUUCGCCUCAAAAUGUAUAAAUCCAAGCUGUAGCUGACCACCUUGGGCACAUGCUCUCAGGAUCUCGUGGGGCUGUGUCAUAGCCCAUUGGUCACUCAUAUUUGGCUCAGAAUAAAUCUCUUCAAAUAUCUUGCAGAGUUUGAUUCUUUUUGUUGACACUUGUUUUGUAACCUAUGAUAUGGUAUACUGUGGAAUGUUCUAUAUGCACUUGAGAUAAAUGUGUUUUCUGCUGUUUUUGUGUGGAGAAUUCUGCAUAAGUCUGUUGGGUCUAGUUGGUUAUGGUGUUGUUCAAGUGUUUUAUCCCCUUAUUGAUCUUCUAUUCAUUAUUGAAAGUGGAGUAUUGAUGUUUCCACCUAUUACUGUAGAAUUGUGCCUUUCUCCCUUUAAUUCUCUGUUUACUUGAUAUAUAUUGGAGCUCUGGUAUGAGGUACAAAUAUGUUUAUAAUUAUGACAUCUUCAUGAUGGAUUGACCCAUUUACCAAUGUAUAAUAUUCUUUUGUCUCCUGUAACAUAUCUGACUUAAAGUCUAUUUUGUCUGACAUUAGUAUAGCCAGCUCAACUCUCUUUUGGUUAUUAUUUACUUAGAAUAUCUUUUUCUAGUCCCCACUUUCAAUCUGUUUGUAUCUUUGGAUUUAAAGUGUAUUUCCCAUAAAUUGCAUGUAGCAAAUCUUGUAACUUUUAUUCUGUUUGAUAAUCUCUGCCUUUGAGUUGAAUUGUUUGCUUCAUUCCCAUUAGAUACUAUCUUUCCUUUUACUUUUUAGUUUCUAUAUUUUGCAUAUCUUUUCUUGUUUCUCUAUUCCUCUUUUA